GUCUUUUUGUAAUUAAAUAUAAAGUUUAACCUGCCCAUUGAAACAUUUUAAAAGGCUGCGGUAUAUUGACCGUACAAAGGUAGCAUAAUCAUUAGUUUAUUAAUUGUAAACUAGUAUGAAUGGUUGAAUGAGAAAUUAACUUUUUUUAAUAAAAUAUUGAAUUUUACUUUUUAGUUAAAAGGCUAAAAUAAUUUUAAAAGACGAGAAGACCCUAUAGAGUUUUAUAAUUUGUUUUUUUUUAUUUUAAAGGUUUAUGAUUAAUAAAAUAGAUAUAAUUAUUUUAUUGGGGUGAUAAUAAAAUUUAAUUAACUUUUAUUUAUUAAAUACAUUAAUAUAUGGUUUUUUGAUCCAGUUAUAUUGAUUAAAAAAUGAAAUUACCUUAGGGAUAACAGCGUAAUUUUUUUUUAAGUUCUUAUUAAUAAAAGAUUUUGCGACCUCGAUGUUGGAUUAAGAUUAAAUUUUAGGUGCAGCAGCUUAAAUUUUAAGUCUGUUCGACUUUUAAAUUCUU
This 508-nucleotide ribosomal RNA is filed under the name Bradysia affinis. RNAcentral's name for it is "partial small subunit ribosomal RNA". Lineage: Eukaryota; Metazoa; Arthropoda; Insecta; Diptera; Sciaridae. The record is from RNAcentral.